AUUGAACGCUGGCGGCAGGCCUAACACAUGCAAGUCGAACGAGCGGCGGACGGGUGAGUAAUGUCUGGGGAACUGCCCGAUAGAGGGGGAUAACUACUGGAAACGGUAGCUAAUACCGCAUACCAUCGGAUGUACCCAGAUGGGAUUAGCUAGUAGGUGGGGUAAAGGCUCACCUAGGCGACGAUCCCUAGCUGGUCUGAGAGGAUGACCAGCCACACUGGGACUGAGACACGGCCCAGACUCCUACGGGAGGCAGCAGUGGGGAAUAUUGCACAAUGGGCGCAAGCCUGAUGCAGCCAUGCCGCGUGUAUGAAGAAGGCCUUCGGGUUGUAAAGUACUUUCAGCGGGGAGGCGUUACGCGCAGAAGAAGCACCGGCUAACUCCGUGCCAGCAGCCGCGGUAAUAC
Molecule: ribosomal RNA, 406 nt
Filed under: uncultured bacterium
Lineage: Bacteria
Description: partial 16S ribosomal RNA
Rfam family: Bacterial small subunit ribosomal RNA
Source: RNAcentral